RNAcentral lists this ribosomal RNA (194 nucleotides) under uncultured bacterium. RNAcentral's name for it is "partial 16S ribosomal RNA". It matches the Rfam family "Bacterial small subunit ribosomal RNA", at positions 338 to 524 of the family's 1533-position model. The record is from RNAcentral. RNAcentral also lists the same sequence under 1 other name.
CCUACGGGAGGCAGCAGUAGGGAAUCUUCCACAAUGGACGCAAGUCUGAUGGAGCAACGCCGCGUGAGUGAAGAAGGUUUUCGGAUCGUAAAGCUCUGUUGUUGGUGAAGAAAGAUAGUGAGAGUAACUGCUCAUUAUUUGCCGGUAAUCAACCAGAAAGUCACGGCUAACUACGUGCCAGCAGCCGCGGUAAU